Molecule: ribosomal RNA, 329 nt
Filed under: uncultured eukaryote
Lineage: Eukaryota
Description: partial 18S ribosomal RNA
Rfam family: Eukaryotic small subunit ribosomal RNA
Source: RNAcentral
CCCUUAGAUGUUCUGGGCCGCACGCGCGCUACACUGAUGCAUUCAACGAGUCUAAAACCUGCUCUGAUAGGGGUGGGUAAUCUUUUGAAUGUGCAUCGUGAUUGGGAUAGAUGAUUGCAAUUUUUCGUCUUCAACGAGGAAUGCCUAGUAAACGCAAGUCAUCAGCUUGCAUUGAUUACGUCCCUGCCCUUUGUACACACCGCCCGUCGCUCCUACCGAUUGAAUGAUCCGAUGAAUAUCAUGGAUUGAGGAUUAUAGCAGGUUCGCCUGUCUUGAUCUUCGAGAAGUGAAGUAAAUCUUAUCAUUUAGAGGAAGGAGAAGUCGUAACA